This 904-nucleotide long non-coding RNA is filed under the name Mus pahari (shrew mouse). RNAcentral describes it as "forkhead-associated phosphopeptide binding domain 1, opposite strand 2 (MGP_PahariEiJ_G0003807.1)". Lineage: Eukaryota; Metazoa; Chordata; Mammalia; Rodentia; Muridae. The record is from RNAcentral.
AGCUGCAGAGUCACGAUUCUGAGCUUCCGCGCGAGCCAGCAUCGGCAAGGCACAAGAAGGUGUUUGCCAGCGCCUCUUGGGGAAGAGGCAGGAGGGGCUGAAGUUCUGCAGCUUGCUCUUGACCAUCUCGACAAACAAGCGUCUCUUUAACACAGAAAGGAUAGCGACAACAUUUAGUUUAGACUUGUACUGCCUUCUGGGCCCAACAGGGAUGGGUUCUUCUCUAUGUAAGAUUUACUGAUUUGGAAUGUUGGGCCCUUUGGGGGGUCGGGCAGGGAGUGACAUUUGGCUUGCAGUAGGGGGUGCUGUUUUGGGGGUUCAAAGGCUACUACUGCUUAGGAGACUGGCAGGCUGAGGGGUCUGGCAGGAGGCAAAAUGGCUUCUGCUGGCAGCAGGGCCUCGCAGUAUGGGAGGGCAGAAGGUGGAGGUGUCCCCACAGUAUAGGUGUUAAAGAGACCACAACGGCUACCCUGUUCCUCAAGUAUUGCCUGUUGGGAAGCCACCCACACCCCAGCCUGGCAUGCUGUUCUGAUUCAGGACCCCACUGUCUUCCAGACCCUACAUCUUAGGGGUAGAAAGACCAGAAGAAAGACCCUUCAGAGGUAUAGAGGGUGCCAGGGUGACAGAGGGAGCUGCGGCUUCCUGUUCAGAGGUCAGCAGGUAAACCGAGGGGCUGCUAGGGGGAGGGAAUUCCCAUAAAGCCUUACAGAAACUCAUGCCUUCAGGGCCCUGCUCUGGGUGUUAGAAAAGGGGGAGAAAUUGGGUGAGCUGUGAACCAGGAGCCCAGUCCUUCCUCAGGGGGCUGGGAGGUGGUGGUUUAUGGAUGGUGGUUCUUGCUUUCCUGUCUCGCAAGUUUCUCAGAGACACUAGAAAUCCAGCAUACCGAGAUAUUCCUUAAAAAGUA